CACUACAUAAGAUCCAUAACAAAAUACUCCUAGUUAAAUCUUAAAUGUGACCUGGUGGCAUUAUUGCGUGAAUGCUUAUGUUGCACACUCAAUGAAUAAGGUCCUCAAGUGUGUUGAGUUUUGCUGAGUUCGUUGUUUAUUUACAUUUUCCUCAGCAUAACUGUACAGCUGACACUGCUGCCUUCUGUAUCAUAACAAAGCCUGUCACUUCCACGUUUCGUUCUUUAUGUGACCGAAGUCACUGGCUACUGCACCAUAGAGGGUCUCUGCACUCAUUGCUGGUCCUAUGAUGCCAUCUAUUGGCGAGAACGUGCAACAGCAUAAUUAAACUAAAAGACAACUUCUGACAGGACAACAAAAAGACAGGGAGUGAGAAUAAGGGAAUAACAAAAAGACAAAAAUGGGGGGUCCACUACACUUGCAUACCUGAUUGUGAUGCUGUCACUCAUUUUCUAGUCUAUAUCUUGGACUGAAAAAGGAUUACAUUAUUAUGUUUUCAGGUGUUUUGCCCCUGCGGUUGUGAAGAGGAUGCUGUGGAGGUGGCAGCAUGAACGUGUCACACAGACAUUGGCUAAACUACUCGGCUUCUACACUUGCCCUCAGAGUUCACAUAUGGUGACGUGCACAGGUGUCCAGUCAGGUUCAGACUGAUGCUGGUAACAAGAGGAGAACAUGCUAAUUGAUGCUGUGUUGCUGCCAGUCCACGGAUGUACACAAAUGGCUCACCUGGAGGAGGAGGGCGGUCAACGACAUUACUCAAGUAUUGACAACAAAUGUGCUCUACGAUGACAUUUCCAGCAUGUCCAACUCAUCAGCAUCAGGGGAGAUUCGGUGGAGGUGGUGCACCAUCCAGGACCAGUCAUGGGCCACCAAAACCUCUGCAAAAUCUACACUUCUUGUGAACCCUGUAGAAGACACUACAACCACAAAACUGCUAAGAAACCAUCACAUACUGCGUCACAUCAUGGUUCUCCAUGUGUUACUGCACCCUCGGCACAAGUUCUUUGCUAGAUUGCCAUCUGGCAGAUGCAUCAGGACAGGAAUGUAGCUACUAUUUGUGAUUAUAUCUUCCCACACUCUUACUUGCUUUGCAUGGCAGUGUGUCUCAAUGUGUGUCAGAAUGGAAGGUGUCGCACCAUUGAAGUCAAUGGGCAGUGGCAUUGCAUCAGGGUUAUAGAAGCCCAGAUAUCCUUGAUGCUUUGAU
This is a long non-coding RNA of Engraulis encrasicolus (European anchovy), 1204 nucleotides long. RefSeq lists it as uncharacterized. The record is from RefSeq and is a predicted model, not a curated record. Lineage: Eukaryota; Metazoa; Chordata; Actinopteri; Clupeiformes; Engraulidae. The transcript has 4 exons.